RNAcentral lists this unclassified non-coding RNA (350 nucleotides) under soil metagenome. RNAcentral's name for it is "partial contains 5.8S ribosomal RNA, internal transcribed spacer 2, and large subunit ribosomal RNA". The stretch from base 1 to 120 matches the Rfam family "5.8S ribosomal RNA", at positions 35 to 154 of the family's 154-position model. The record is from RNAcentral.
GAUGAAGAACGCAGCGAACUGCGAUAAGUAAUGUGAAUUGCAGAAUUCAGUGAAUCAUCGAGUCUUUGAACGCACAUUGCCCCCCCUGGCAUUCCGGGGGGCAUGCCUGUCCGAGCGUCAUUGCUGCCCUUCAAGCCCGGCUUGUGUGUUGGGUCGUCGUCCCCCCCGGGGGACGGGCCCGAAAGGCAGCGGCGGCACCGCGUCCGGUCCUCGAGCGUAUGGGGCUUUGUCACCCGCUCGAUUAGGGCCGGCCGGGCGCCAGCCGGCGUCUCCAACCUUCUAUUUUACCAGGUUGACCUCGGAUCAGGUAGGGAUACCCGCUGAACUUAAGCAUAUCAAUAAGCGGAGGA